RNAcentral lists this ribosomal RNA (253 nucleotides) under uncultured bacterium. RNAcentral describes it as "partial 16S ribosomal RNA". It matches the Rfam family "Bacterial small subunit ribosomal RNA", at positions 524 to 776 of the family's 1533-position model. The record is from RNAcentral.
UACGUAGGGGGCUAGCGUUGUCCGGAUUUAUUGGGCGUAAAGAGCGUGUAGGCGGCCAGGUAGGUCCGUUGUGAAAACUCGAGGCUCAACCUCGAGACGUCGGCGGAAACCCUCUGGCUAGAGUCCGGAAGAGGAGAGUGGAAUUCCUGGUGUAGCGGUGAAAUGCGCAGAUAUCGGGAAGAACACCCGUGGCGAAGGCGGGUCUCUGGGCAGUAACUGACGCUGAGGAGCGAAAGCGUGGGGAGCGAACAGG